Molecule: small nucleolar RNA, 170 nt
Organism: Lolium rigidum
Lineage: Eukaryota; Viridiplantae; Streptophyta; Magnoliopsida; Poales; Poaceae
Product: small nucleolar RNA snoR143
Exons: 1
Source: RefSeq, a predicted model, not a curated record
CUGCACCUCUGUAUGUUAUACCCUGCUUUCAGUCUGUGUUUGUGGGACAUUUACAUUGGUGCAAAAAGUAUAUGCUGCUCCUUGUAGCAGCAGCGGCCAGACAACCGUAGAGAUAGAUCCACAGAUGAAUGGCCCCUAUGCUGUUUGCCUACUAAUUCUAUCUCACAUUU